ACGAACGCUGACGGUGUGCUUUAGACAUGCAAGUCGAACGAGAAAGCCCUUCGGGUUAGUAAAGUGGCGAACGGGUGAGUAACACGUGGGCAAUCUGCCCCUCGCAGGGGGACAACCGGAGGAAACCCCGGCUAAUACCCCGUAAGUUCAAAGGGAGGCAUCUCCCCUUGAAGAAAGGUAGCUUCGCCAUCCGGCGAGGGAUGAGCCCGCGGUGCAUUAGCUAGUUGGGUGGGGUAACGGCCCACCAAGGCGACGAUGCAUAGCUGGUCUGAGAGGAUGAUCAGCCACACUGGGACUGAGACACGG
This 306-nucleotide ribosomal RNA is filed under the name uncultured bacterium. Its description in RNAcentral is "bacterial SSU rRNA". It matches the Rfam family "Bacterial small subunit ribosomal RNA", at positions 29 to 329 of the family's 1533-position model. The record is from RNAcentral.